RNAcentral lists this long non-coding RNA (2592 nucleotides) under Olea europaea subsp. europaea. The record is from RNAcentral. Lineage: Eukaryota; Viridiplantae; Streptophyta; Magnoliopsida; Lamiales; Oleaceae.
CAAACAACGAUUUUAAAAUUUAUGGGACCCACUUAAGUUCAAGAUAUACUUGAAACAAUCAAUUCAAUCACCUUCAGAAGCUUGGUCUGUCUCAAUAUGCCUUUUGUUAUAUUUAUGAGUUUAUCUCACUUAUUAAGUUACUAAUUUUUUUUUUUUUUUGGCACUGAUCAUGCUUUAGGUAAACAAUAUUGACGCUGAAGAAAGACUUACAGUUGCAGAUGCUUUGGUAUAUGCUUGCAACCAAGGAGUGGAUAAAGUACACUUACAUGCCUUUACUUUUGCAUCUCUUUGGAAAACACCAUUUUUAUGGGUUUUAUUCUCUCAUCAGUUGUCCAUGUAUUUCGUUUUCUGGAACGAGUACCUAAAACGCACGAGAUAUAUGAUACACAAAUUUAAAACCUUUGAAUAAGUCAUGACACUAAAAUUUUAGGGUUCACUUUGGAUUUUGAUAUGUGUUUUUAAUCAUUUGCAGAUCGUUGAUUUGGCCACAUUGACUGGGGCUUGUUUGUUGCUCUUGGGCCCUCUAUUGCUGGUAUGUAAUUUAUAAAUCUUAUUUGUCCUGUAUUCUUUGAGAACCACCUCCGAUCCAAUAGAUUUUUUGGCUUCUUUUCAAUUUGAAAUUCAUAAAAUGUUCUUAACAUGGAGAUUCGUUGUGAAGAUCCUUGCACUGGCUUAUUCUUGAUAUAAAAAAUCAGGUGUUUUUACACCCAGUGAUGACCUGGCAAAUGAGGUAUUUGCAGCUUCAGAGGUUAGUGGGGAAAAACUUUGGUGGAUGCCCCUGGAGGAAAGUUAUUGGGAGUCCAUGAAAUCUGGAGUGGCUGAUAUGGUGAACACCGAUGGUCGCCAAGGUGGUUCCAUCACUGCAGCUCUUUCCUUGAAGCAGGUAUAGCUUCCUCCGCACCCCUUAUUCCAUGCUGAAGAUUAAGUUUGUUUUACGUUUUAAGCUUUUUACAUACAAUUUGAAAAAGAACUAUGGAAUUGCAAUUCUCGAACAAGCAAUCGAAAAGAUUCUGGAGCAUCCUCCAUUUUAGUUGUUACGAUAAUUGCCUAAGUUGUAGUUUUGAACAAUUCUUAUAGCAAGUCGAUUUCAAAUCUAGAAUAUUGGCUAUUCCGAAAAGAAUUUCAAAAUUUAACCAAUGGGCUUCUUUUUCUGAUGGCAAAAAAUAAUAAAAUAAAAAAAUCUUGUUAUGUUCCUUUUAAUCAGAGGAAAUCACUUGAUUGAAUAUGGAAAAAUUGGGUGCUGCCAUGUAGCUUAAUAUCAGCUAUGUUCAUGAGUUGAAGAUGCAUGGGUCAUUAGUGGGAGUUUAGUUUGUGCAUGGGCGUGGGUUACUUAAGUGUCGCAACAACUGAUACUCAUUUGGAGAUGUUUGCAAAUUUGACCAAUUGAGGCAGGUGAUUUUUUUAGUUGGCAAACUAACACUCCAAAUGGUGAAAGAAUCGCCCCCUCUCCAUGUCUACUGGAUCUGUUCUUGGGGAUAAGGAAAUUUUUUAUGGAUCAUUGGACAUUUUAGUUCAUCUGAAGGUCUAGAUAUGAUUGCAUAGAUUCUCUUCUUGUCUUUCCUUAAAUUACAUUUUUCCCUUCCCCUAGUUUUCUACUAAAUUCUGCAUUUUUAUUUCAUGAAUUUGAACCUCUGCACUUCAUGAAAACAGAUUUUCUUCCGAAUUUCUUAGAAAAAUUUAUUAGAUAAUACGUGUUAUAUUCCAAAGUUAUCCCAGUUCUAGCCUCUAUAAAUGCUGUAUACCAUAAGAAUUUGUUUGUAAGGUGGACUAUACAAUACUAGGCACUAUUAAGGAAGAAAAAAAUGUUAAAUCUAGUCUAUUGUAUUGCGUACCAAAGAUGUUCUAAAAGUUCUCUAAAUGUAUACCUUACAACGCUUUGUGUUUGUGGGGUGGGGGGCCCUAAUAAAGUGAAACCCAAAUGAGCUCCGACUAAUAAUAGAUUAAGAAACGAAAGCACGUGUUUGAGACUAUAAGUUGUUCCCUAGUCUGUCUCAGUGAAGGCACCUGACAUGUAACUCCGUACAUGCAGUUUGUUGAUGAGAAGGUCCAGUGGAUGCACAUUGACAUGGCUGGCCCGGUUUGGAAUGAUAAGAAGAAAAUUGCAACUGGUUUUGGUAUUUCAACACUGGUUACAUGGGUUCUAAAGAAUUCUUCUUAGUUUGGGUGUCCGUGGGGCUGCUCAGAGGACAAAUACCUUAUAUCUGAAGUCGAUUCAAGAAAAAAUGGAAAAUUCUUAUUCAGGUUGUUCGAUGGCUGGGGUGUCGAGUUAUACUAAUAAAGAUGGUUAGAGAAGAAAACGAGGCCGUUGCUGCGUUCUGGAGUCGUGAACUCUUGUUACUGUUCCUUUAUAUUAUGAGAAGUUUCUUUUAUUUUUGGCCCUAUCAUCUUGUUCCUGGGAAAAUGAAAAUAUCCCAUGUUUCUGCAUGCAAAAUGUGAUGUAAAAUGAACGCAGAUUGUUCUCGAACUUUCCUCAGCAUGGUUUACCCCAGCAUAGCUUACCAAGGCUUGAUCUCGGGCAGGAUAAAAAAAUUUCAAUGCUAAUGUGACAAUAGAAUCUUAGUUAUGACUGUAGCAAAUUUUUAUUCUAUCCAC